Molecule: non-coding RNA, 75 nt
Organism: Cordylochernes scorpioides
Lineage: Eukaryota; Metazoa; Arthropoda; Arachnida; Pseudoscorpiones; Chernetidae
Source: the annotation of a GenBank genome assembly
GUGUUAAUGGAUGAAUGGUAUAAAUUGUUGAUUUAUAAUAGCAACGACCCGGGAUCGAAUCCCGCAUUGGGCACU